RNAcentral lists this long non-coding RNA (206 nucleotides) under Gossypium raimondii (Peruvian cotton). Its description in RNAcentral is "long non-coding RNA (GRAI_LNC003871)". The record is from RNAcentral. Lineage: Eukaryota; Viridiplantae; Streptophyta; Magnoliopsida; Malvales; Malvaceae.
AACUCACCUUUGUAUUAUGAGUUGAUUUUUAAAAAAAAAGACAUAAAUUAAAAAUACCUCAGCGUGACCCGAGGCUCAACUCACCUCUGUAUUAUGAGUUGAAAAAAAAACAUAAAUUAAAAAUACUUCAGCGUGACCCGAGGCUCAACUCACCUCUGUAUUAUGAGUUGAUUUAAAAAAAAGGACAUAAAUUAAAAAUACCUCAG